RNAcentral lists this unclassified non-coding RNA (216 nucleotides) under uncultured Entoloma. RNAcentral describes it as "sequence contains ITS2". The record is from RNAcentral. Lineage: Eukaryota; Fungi; Basidiomycota; Agaricomycetes; Agaricales; Entolomataceae.
AAUUCUCAACCUUUCAAGCUUUGUUUUUAAAGCUGGUCAGGCUUGGAUCUUGGGAGUCUGCCGGUUCUAGCGAGUCGGCUCUCCUUAAAUGCAUUAGCAAGAUUAAUCGCUGUAUUAUCUUUGAUAUGAUAAUUAUCUAUAUCAUGGAUGAAACAAGUGUUUUCCUUCAUGGAAAGAUCUGGCUUUCUAAUCGUCUUUUGAGACAAUUAUUGAAUC